UCGAGCGGACAGAUGGGAGCUUGCUCCCUGAUGUUAGCGGCGGACGGGUGAGUAACACGUGGGUAACCUGCCUGUAAGACUGGGAUAACUCCGGGAAACCGGGGCUAAUACCGGAUGGUUGUUUGAACCGCAUGGUUCAGACAUAAAAGGUGGCUUCGGCUACCACUUACAGAUGGACCCGCGGCGCAUUAGCUAGUUGGUGAGGUAACGGCUCACCAAGGCGACGAUGCGUAGCCGACCUGAGAGGGUGAUCGGCCACACUGGGACUGAGACACGGCCCAGACUCCUACGGGAGGCAGCAGUAGGGAAUCUUCCGCAAUGGACGAAAGUCUGACGGAGCAACGCCGCGUGAGUGAUGAAGGUUUUCGGAUCGUAAAGCUCUGUUGUUAGGGAAGAACAAGUGCCGUUCAAAUAGGGCGGCACCUUGACGGUACCUAACCAGAAAGCCACGGCUAACUACGUGCCAGCAGCCGCGGUAAUACGUAGGUGGCAAGCGUUGUCCGGAAUUAUUGGGCGUAAAGGGCUCGCAGGCGGUUUCUUAAGUCUGAUGUGAAAGCCCCCGGCUCAACCGGGGAGGGUCAUUGGAAACUGGGGAACUUGAGUGCAGAAGAGGAGAGUGGAAUUCCACGUGUAGCGGUGAAAUGCGUAGAGAUGUGGAGGAACACCAGUGGCGAAGGCGACUCUCUGGUCUGUAACUGACGCUGAGGAGCGAAAGCGUGGGGAGCGAAC
RNAcentral lists this ribosomal RNA (729 nucleotides) under Bacillus amyloliquefaciens. RNAcentral's name for it is "bacterial SSU rRNA". It matches the Rfam family "Bacterial small subunit ribosomal RNA", at positions 62 to 773 of the family's 1533-position model. Lineage: Bacteria; Bacillati; Bacillota; Bacilli; Caryophanales; Bacillaceae. The record is from RNAcentral.